AUCUACGGCCAUGAUACCUACCCUGAACGUGCCCGAUCUCGUCUGAUCUGGGAAGCUAAGCAGGGUCGGGCCUGGUUAGUACUUGGAUGGGAGACCACCUAGGAAAAUCAGGUGCUACAGACA
This 123-nucleotide ribosomal RNA is filed under the name Pteropus alecto (black flying fox). Lineage: Eukaryota; Metazoa; Chordata; Mammalia; Chiroptera; Pteropodidae. The record is from RNAcentral.